GCCAAGACUAGAGUCAUAUCCUGACAUAGCACUUGUCCUGGUGUGCUGGAGUCCUCGAAGACAAUCUGCUCGUCUUGACUCACUGGUGGGGGCAAUCAGUGUCCCUGUUAGUGCCCAGAUCAGAAAAAUGG
Cynocephalus volans (Philippine flying lemur) is the source of this 131-nucleotide small nucleolar RNA. RefSeq annotates it as small nucleolar RNA SNORA3/SNORA45 family. NCBI's taxonomy places the organism in Eukaryota, Metazoa, Chordata, Mammalia, Dermoptera, Cynocephalidae. The transcript has a single exon. The record is from RefSeq and is a predicted model, not a curated record.